AUAAUGGGUCAGCGACUUAUAUUCUGUAGCAAGGUUAACCGAAUAGGGGAGCCGAAGGGAAACCGAGUCUUAACUGGGCGUUAAGUUGCAGGGUAUAGACCCGAAACCCGGUGAUCUAGCCAUGGGCAGGUUGAAGGUUGGGUAACACUAACUGGAGGACCGAACCGACUAAUGUUGAAAAAUUAGCGGAUGACUUGUGGCUGGGGGUGAAAGGCCAAUCAAACCGGGAGAUAGCUGGUUCUCCCCGAAAGCUAUUUAGGUAGCGCCUCGUGAAUUCAUCUCCGGGGGUAGAGCACUGUUUCGGCAAGGGGGUCAUCCCGACUUACCAACCCGAUGCAAACUGCGAAUACCGGAGAAUGUUAUCACGGGAGACACACGGCGGGUGCUAACGUCCGUCGUGAAGAGGGAAACAACCCAGACCGCCAGCUAAGGUCCCAAAGUCAUGGUUAAGUGGGAAACGAUGUGGGAAGGCCCAGACAGCCAGGAUGUUGGCUUAGAAGCAGCCAUCAUUUAAAGAAAGCGUAAUAGCUCACUGGUCGAGUCGGCCUGCGCGGAAGAUGUAACGGGGCUAAACCAUGCACCGAAGCUGCGGCAGCGACGCUGAUGCGUUGUUGGGUAGGGGAGCGUUCUGUAAGCCUGUGAAGGUGUGCUGUGAGGCAUGCUGGAGGUAUCAGAAGUGCGAAUGCUGACAUAAGUAACGAUAAAGCGGGUGAAAAGCCCGCUCGCCGGAAGACCAAGGGUUCCUGUCCAACGUUAAUCGGGGCAGGGUGAGUCGACCCCUAAGGCGAGGCCGAAAGGCGUAGUCGAUGGGAAACAGGUUAAUAUUCCUGUACUUGGUGUUACUGCGAAGGGGGGACGGAGAAGGCUAUGUUGGCCGGGCGACGGUUGUCCCGGUUUAAGCGUGUAGGCUGGUUUUCCAGGCAAAUCCGGAAAAUCAAGGCUGAGGCGUGAUGACGAGGCACUACGGUGCUGAAGCAACAAAUGCCCUGCUUCCAGGAAAAGCCUCUAAGCAUCAGGUAACAUCAAAUCGUACCCCAAACCGACACAGGUGGUCAGGUAGAGAAUACCAAGGCGCUUGAGAGAACUCGGGUGAAGGAACUAGGCAAAAUGGUGCCGUAACUUCGGGAGAAGGCACGCUGAUAUGUAGGUGAAGUCCCUCGCGGAUGGAGCUGAAAUCAGUCGAAGAUACCAGCUGGCUGCAACUGUUUAUUAAAAACACAGCACUGUGCAAACACGAAAGUGGACGUAUACGGUGUGACGCCUGCCCGGUGCCGGAAGGUUAAUUGAUGGGGUCAGCGCAAGCGAAGCUCUUGAUCGAAGCCCCGGUAAACGGCGGCCGUAACUAUAACGGUCCUAAGGUAGCGAAAUUCCUUGUCGGGUAAGUUCCGACCUGCACGAAUGGCGUAAUGAUGGCCAGGCUGUCUCCACCCGAGACUCAGUGAAAUUGAACUCGCUGUGAAGAUGCAGUGUACCCGCGGCAAGACGGAAAGACCCCGUGAACCUUUACUAUAGCUUGACACUGAACAUUGAGCCUUGAUGUGUAGGAUAGGUGGGAGGCUUUGAAGUGUGGACGCCAGUCUGCAUGGAGCCGGCCUUGAAAUACCACCCUUUAAUGUUUGAUGUUCUAACGUUGACCCGUGAUCCGGGUUGCGGACAGUGUCUGGUGGGUAGUUUGACUGGGGCGGUCUCCUCCUAAAGAGUAACGGAGGAGCACGAAGGUUGGCUAAUCCUGGUCGGACAUCAGGAGGUUAGUGCAAUGGCAUAAGCCAGCUUGACUGCGAGCGUGACGGCGCGAGCAGGUGCGAAAGCAGGUCAUAGUGAUCCGGUGGUUCUGAAUGGAAGGGCCAUCGCUCAACGGAUAAAAGGUACUCCGGGGAUAACAGGCUGAUACCGCCCAAGAGUUCAUAUCGACGGCGGUGUUUGGCACCUCGAUGUCGGCUCAUCACAUCCUGGGGCUGAAGUAGGUCCCAAGGGUAUGGCUGUUCGCCAUUUAAAGUGGUACGCGAGCUGGGUUUAGAACGUCGUGAGACAGUUCGGUCCCUAUCUGCCGUGGGCGCUGGAGAACUGAGGGGGGCUGCUCCUAGUACGAGAGGACCGGAGUGGACGCAUCACUGGUGUUCGGGUUGUCAUGCCAAUGGCACUGCCCGGUAGCUAAAUGCGGAAGAGAUAAGUGCUGAAAGCAUCUAAGCACGAAACUUGCCCCGAGAUGAGUUCUCCCUGACUCCUUGAGAGUCCUGAAGGAACGUUGAAGACGACGACGUUGAUAGGCCGGGUGUGUAAGCGCAGCGAUGCGUUGAGCUAACCGGUACUAAUGAACCGUGAGGCUUAACCUUACAACGCCGAAGCUGUU
RNAcentral lists this ribosomal RNA (2350 nucleotides) under Escherichia coli. Its description in RNAcentral is "partial 23S ribosomal RNA". It matches the Rfam family "Bacterial large subunit ribosomal RNA", at positions 612 to 2925 of the family's 2925-position model. Lineage: Bacteria; Pseudomonadati; Pseudomonadota; Gammaproteobacteria; Enterobacterales; Enterobacteriaceae. The record is from RNAcentral.